Molecule: transfer RNA, 73 nt
Filed under: Felis catus (domestic cat)
Lineage: Eukaryota; Metazoa; Chordata; Mammalia; Carnivora; Felidae
Also listed under: 3 other names
Rfam family: tRNA
About the family: Transfer RNA (tRNA) molecules are approximately 80 nucleotides in length.
Source: Rfam by way of RNAcentral
GCUUAGCUAGCUCAGUCAGUAGAACAUGUGACUCUUGAUCUCAGGGCUGUGAGUUCGAGCCCCAUGUUGGGUG